UGGGGAAGAUGAAGAAACACUGUUUUGGGUAGUUUUGUAAAUCCAAACCCAAUUUUGUGUAUUUUUGUUAAUUGAAACAAUAGGUGGAUAGUUUUGUAAAAGAAAACCUGAUUUUGUGUAAUCUUGU
Telopea speciosissima is the source of this 127-nucleotide long non-coding RNA. RefSeq lists it as uncharacterized. The record is from RefSeq and is a predicted model, not a curated record. The transcript is spliced from 3 exons. Lineage: Eukaryota; Viridiplantae; Streptophyta; Magnoliopsida; Proteales; Proteaceae.